CACACACAAGCCAAUACGUGAUCAAAUUAAAUAGUUUUUGAAACCUGAAAGUCAUGUGAAACAGUAGGACUCGACUUGUUUCAUGCAGUAUAAAAAGAUUUUCUUGAGGAAGAAAUUUUUUGUGAUAGAUAGCAAAAGCUUGACUUGUUCAAGCAGAUUCAGCGAUAGAAUAAAUAAUAAUAUGAGUUUAUGAGGUCGUGAUGGAAUGAUAUCGUGGGUGCCAAGAAAGUGAGAGAAAAACCAAGAAAUGUUAUAAACAAAUAAAGAGUUCUUGACUUGGAGAUUUUUAAGUGUAGAUAUCAAUGGAAAGAAAUAAAGACUCCAGUUUUGUUACAGCUAUUAAUAUGCAGAACUUCCUCAUUCAAGUUCAAGAAGAUAGACGUCAAUCUACAAACCCUAUCGAGGUUCUCUCUCUCACUCUUGAACCUGUUUCUUGUUUUAUAUUUUCUUUCCCCAUCAUCGUUUUCCAUCAAGAUUCUCUGCAAUUCCCUGAACUCAUUUCUUGUUUCUUUAAAGUUCCUGAUCUAAGUCAACUGACACCAUUUUUCUCUCCGAGGUAGCAUUUCCGGCCCAUAUCCGUUCUUGCUUCUUCAUUUCUUGUUCUUGAUCUUCCUCAUUAAUCCUCUAAGUAACUAAUUUCGUGUAUCUUUUAGUGUGUAGCUCAUGACAUCUACUAGGAGUUCAUUUGCUAAAGUGUCAACCUAAUUGCUUUGUUUUCUUUUGCAGGUUCAAGAAUCAAGCAUUCAGAUCGAGACUGCAAAGGUGGCGGCGCAAUUUGUUCAGAGGCUUUUCCGAGUCCUUUUCUUCGUACACAUAAUCCUAACCACCAUCCUAGUAAUCUUCCUCACCAUCCGUGGCCUGCUCUCUGUACACAGCCACCAUUUCCACCCCAAGAAGUGGUAUCCCCCACUCCUGACUGCAAUAGCAUGCUCUGGAAUUGUAGCUUUCACUUGGCAACAAAUCACCCUCUGCUACCCUUCAAAGGCCAUAAGAGCAGCAUUUUGGCUUAGCCCCUUGCUAACAUGUGCAGUUGGGAUACUGCUGGUGCUAAUUGGCUCUGCUGCAAGUCUGGCACUAGGUACAAUUGCGGUUGUUUUUGCCCUCAUUCAAUCCCUUUAUGCUUGUUGGGUGAAUCCCAGAUUCAAUUAUGCCAUCAAGGUUCUAUCAGUUUCUACAACUUUCCCGCCUGCCAAAACUACUGCACUGGUCCUCAACUCGAUUGUCACAAGCAUCAUCUAUUCCAGCUUCUUGGUGUCUGGGAUAGGCGGUGCCACCAUUACUGGAACUGGAAUAGAUAUCUUGUUCAUUUUGAUGAUCCUGCUGAGCCUGACAUGGACUCUGCAAGUGAUGAAAAACACAUUGCAGGUUACAGUUGCACGCAUUAAGUACUUACACUUUGCUUGUGGGGCAGAUAUGGACACAAGAGUUGCUUUAAGAGACACAUUCAAACACCUGAUGGGGAGUGUUUUCAUAGGCUCCACCCUUGUCCCGAUUCUUACUGUAAUCCGGGGCUCUGCACGUGCAAUUAAUCUGGUUGCAGGGGGUACAGAUGAGUUUUUGUUCUCCUGUGCUGACUGCUAUUCUGCUAUAGCUUCAACACUAGUGACCUACGGAAAUAGGUGGGGUUUUGUGCAGGUAGGGGUUUACAAUAAGGGAUUUAUGCAGGCAUCCAUGGAUACAUGGGAGACGUUCAGGAGAGUAGGGAUGGAAUCACUAAUUGAUUCAGACCUCACAGGGUCAUUCUGUUUCUUUUCUGGGAUAGCAGGAGGUGCAGUAUGCACCCUGGUGGGAGGAACAUGGACACUUCUAGUUCAUGAGAGUUAUGCAACCGAAGUUUCAAUUUAUGGCUUCUUGAUAGGCUAUCUAAUGGUAAGAGCUCAGCAAGCAGUUGAACCAUAGAAAGACUUUGUAAACAAUUUCUUUCCAAAAAAUAAAAUAAAAAUGGAAACUGACCAGGUUUGAUGUCAAUGUUUGUGUUCCUCAGUGUCGGAUAGCAAUGGCGUGGCCACAAGCAUGCGUUUCAGCUUACUACGUUGCUUAUGCAGAGAAUCCACAAGGCCUACGGUUCGACCCGACCAUUCCAGUUCGCAUUCAAGAGCUUCAGAGACAUGGAGGUUAACAAUCCUGGAAGCCAACUUUGACAUGGUUUACUGAUAUGGACUUACGGUUACAUCGAGUCCAAAAUCUUGCACUGGAUAUACCACUAAAGAUUAUUCAAUUGAUACUUAGAAACAUGUGAAUUUCUCAAAUUUCCACUUUUUGGUUUAAGAAUGACUUACACUUAUGCUGUAAAUCAGUUUUCUUUUAGAUUGAAUCUCAUCUCUAAUUUUUUCUGUUUUAGUAAGCUUUGGAAGUGCUAAUGCAGAUAAUCCUCCAAAACAUCAAAUUUCACUCAAAUAAAUAUGUACUAUGGUCAUAAACCAGAAUCCCACCAGAAAUCAGGUCACAAAGGAUUAUAUAACAAUGACGCAAAGGUCAAAACUUUGCAAUUAAUUUGAUUCUAGGUGAACCAUGAUUUCCAACUCCGUUUUCAGCUAUAAUGUUUAUUGUUAAGAAAGCAAAAUAGCAAAAGCAGAUGCGUCCAUCAUGUUUCAAUGUACUAAAUGGACAAACAGAAGCAAAAUGAAGCCAACUCAUAGUUUGUCCAUAAAGUAAAUGCAGAUCAAUACCUUUAAAAAAAAUUGAGGCAUGAAAACAUUAAGAAAUGAAUUGAGUCAAACACACUAAAUUUUUGCAUAAAAUUUAUCACAAAUCAUCAAAGAUGGAACCGUACAAAACCUCUAUAAUAAAUGUGACCUUUAAUUUGUAAAUGUUAGAACAAACAAGGCUACAACAAAAUCCCAGGAAGAAAAGCAAACCAUGCAGGUCAUUUGGGUCCAAGAUGACCACGCCCACCACAUUCUGAGCACAUAACGUUACCUGUCCCUCCACAGCCUACCAAAAAAACAAAUAUCAAAUGAGAAUAAUUUUUCUUUGCCAAAUACAAGACAGUAUAUUAAGAUAACCAAUAAUCAGGUAACCACAUUAUUUUUCUUCAUAAGCAACAAUCAUGACUGAAGUACAGUAGAAAAGCAAAUCAUGAUUGAGAACUUCCCACAGUCACAGGUGUAUUCUCCAAUAUCCAACAAAUUAAAGUCUUCCUUUAGACUUAACUCCAACGUUCUCUACUUUAGAAAAGUGUUUCAGUAAAAAUUCAAAUGCAACCACAACUAUUUUCAGUUUCAGAUUAUUUAUUCCUAAUACUCCAAUGUUUCAAUAUCUAAUAUCAAAACUAUUAUUUAUUAUUACUAAAAUCAUAAGAUUAUCGUAUCCCCCAUAAUAAAGAUAACAGGAAUGGUAGAUUCCCCCAGGAAAAAAGAUUACAACAAGCCCUGGAUUAUCCUAAUUAAGUCUAAGUAGCCAAGUUAUCCAGUUGUAACUCCAGGAUUUCAACAAUUCUCAAGAAAUUGUGGAUUUGCUUUCAACAAAAUUAAUUCAAGGUAGUACAUGGGAACCUAGUCAUACAAAGAGACAUGAGCAUUGGAAUGCAUAUAAGGCCCUCAUUCACAAUAUGGUCAAAAUUGAAUUGGAUGGACAUGAAUACAACAAAAAUACGUAAAGAGAGGUCUAUUUUAAUCAACCAUGGUCCAUGAUGGAGAAAUAACACUACUAAUAACAAUAUUGCUGAAUAGCUUAAUCAAAGAAUUGCUUCUGAGAAUUUAUGUUUUUGUUGCAUUAGAUAUAGGAGCACAGUGGAGCCAUAGCAGUCAACAAAUUCAUCUGUUAUCAUAUGCCAUUUGAAGAGAGCAAAUUUACCUAGCCAGCGGACUUUUACUAUGAUACCCUGGCUCUCCAAUGUAGAGUCAACAUAUAACCCUGAACCUGAGCAAGUGGUGCAAAGAAGUGCACCUUUGGCAUCACAAUCAGUGCAUCGCUGAUUAUCUCCAAUUCUUUCAUACCAACCGGCUUCUCAAUUCUCUCCUCCCAUAUGGGCUUAUCAUAACAAAAUAGAUAUUCAAGCCUGCUUCUUUGUUUAGGUACAUCUGCCACUUCCCUCGAUUAUAUUACUUCAAUAUUACUACUUUCAUUACUAUAUGCACAAAGGCUAACACACUGGUCAUAUUCUACUCUUGCUUCAAGAUCGAGCAAUAUGGAUAAUUAAGAUAGCCUUUUACAAGGCUUUAAACAAAGGAAGCAUAAAUAAAGCAGCAUGGUGUACUACCAAAAUCAAAACAUUAAUAAAUUUGAGAAACACUCAAUUCAAGUAAAAAAAACACUAUAUUAAAUCUCAAUAAUAUUAUACCAAAAAAAAAAUCUCACUUAUCCGUCGAAACAAUUACGUGCUUUUUCAAUAUGGUAUCUUUUAAUUCUGGGCAUAAAUAUUCACAACCAUAAGUAUUAAAAGCAAAUGCAAUUAUAAAAUCAAUGACUAUAUGCAAUGAUCAUUACCCAAAUAAUAGGAACAAAUAUUUAAAACGAAAGAUGCAUAACCAAAAGUUUUGAUUCAUUAAAAAUGAAUGCAAUAUGUAAAAUUAAAAUAAAUAAAUAACCAAAAGGAUAAUACUAAAACACUAACAACAAAGACUACUAAAAAAGUGAAAUGAGAUAGCAAUCAAAACCAGCAAUUGAAUAUCCAAAAAAUCAUUACCCAGAUGCCAAUUCUCUUCAACAGAGCACAAUCUACAACGAAAGAAACUAUAGACCAAAACAUAAAAAUGAAAGAAAGAAAGAAAGA
RNAcentral lists this unclassified non-coding RNA (4714 nucleotides) under Hevea brasiliensis (rubber tree). The record is from RNAcentral. Lineage: Eukaryota; Viridiplantae; Streptophyta; Magnoliopsida; Malpighiales; Euphorbiaceae.